Ipomoea nil (Japanese morning glory) is the source of this 618-nucleotide long non-coding RNA. RefSeq lists it as uncharacterized. The transcript is spliced from 3 exons. The record is from RefSeq and is a predicted model, not a curated record. NCBI's taxonomy places the organism in Eukaryota, Viridiplantae, Streptophyta, Magnoliopsida, Solanales, Convolvulaceae.
GCAUUAGAGGGUGACAUAAUGUCAAUCGUAUUCCAUGUAGCGGCAUCUCAUGGGCAACUAGUUUUCUACCAAAUCUUAAGAAGCUCAAAUUCUUCGACACUAGUUUGGCAUGGAGUGAUAUGAGGCUUAUUGGUAUGUAGCAAAAUCUAGAGGUUCUAAAACUGAUAAAUGCUAUUGCUAGCAAAGACACAAUGUGGGAACCAUCCGAGGAUGGGUUCCAUCAAUUGAAAAGAUUGGUAAUUCAAGAUACAUUUUUGGAACGUUGGAAUGCUGUGGGUAACAAUUUCCCUGUGCUAGAAUGUUUAGAGUUACGUAAGUGCGAUUCCUUGCAAGAGAUUCCUAGUGGUUUUGCGGAUAUCACGACACUAGCACUGAUUCUGUUAAACUUGUGUUGGGAUUCCGUUCUGGCUUCCGCAAAGUUGAUUCAAGAAGAGCAAUACAACAACUAUGGAAAUGCCCUCCUUGUUUGUUCGGAAAAUAUUAUGACGAAACAAAACGUGUAAACAACAAAGAGUAAGAAUUGGAUGUGGAGGAAGAGAGUGAUCUUUUGGUGGAUUAGGCUGCAGAUAGCACUUUGGGCUGUUUCUAUCUGGAAGACUGGAAAUCGAUCAAUGCCAG